CGUAGGGUGCGAGCGCUAAUCAGAAUUACUGGGCGUAAAGUGUGCGCAGGCGGCCGCACAAGUCGAGUGUGAAAGCCCCGAGCUUAACUUGGGAACUGCGCUCGAAACUACGUGGCUGGAGUGUGGCAGAGGAAGGUGGAAUUCCACGUGUAGCGGUGAAAUGCGUAGAGAUGUGGAGGAACACCGAUGGCGAAGGCAGCCUUCUGGGCCAACACUGACGCUCAUGCACGAAAGCGUGGGGAGCAAACAGGAUUAGAUACCCUGGUAGUCCACGCCCUAAACGAUGAUGACUAGUUGUUGGAGGAGUUAAAUCCUUUAGUAACGCAGCUAACGCGUGAAGUCAUCCGCCUGGGGAGUACGGUCGCAAGAUUA
This 372-nucleotide ribosomal RNA is filed under the name uncultured organism. RNAcentral describes it as "bacterial SSU rRNA". It matches the Rfam family "Bacterial small subunit ribosomal RNA", at positions 526 to 896 of the family's 1533-position model. The record is from RNAcentral.